This 465-nucleotide ribosomal RNA is filed under the name uncultured bacterium. Its description in RNAcentral is "partial 16S ribosomal RNA". It matches the Rfam family "Bacterial small subunit ribosomal RNA", at positions 28 to 507 of the family's 1533-position model. The record is from RNAcentral.
GACGAACGCUGGCGGCGUGCUUAACACAUGCAAGUCGAACGGAAGGGCCCCUUUGGGGGUACUCGAGUGGCGACCGGGUGAGUAACACGUGAGUAACCUGCCCUUGACUUCGGGAUAACUUCAGGAAACUGGGGCUAAUACCGGAUAGGAAUCCUUGCUGCAACGUGGGGGUUGGAAAGUUUCGGCGGGUUUGGAUGGACUCGCGGCGUAUCUGCUUGUUGGUGGGGUAGUGUCUUACCAAGGCUUGGACGUGUAGCCGGCCUGAGAGGGCGACCGGCGACAUUGGGACUGAGAGACGGCCCAGACUGCUACGGGAGGCAGAAGUGGGGAAUAUUGAACAAUGGGCGGAAGCCUGAUGCAGAAAGGCCGCGUGCGGGAUGACGGCCUUCGGGUGGUAAACCGCUUUCAGAAGGGGCGAAGCUUGUGGUGACGGUACCUGAAGAAGAAGCAACGGCUAACUACGUG